UUGUGGCGGCGUUAUUCCAUAACACAAACGACUCUCGGCAACGGAUAUCUCGGCUCUAGCAUCGAUGAAGAACGUAGCGAAAUGCGAUACUUGGUGUGAAUUGCAGAAUCCCGUGAACCAUCGAGUCUUUGAACGCAAGUUGCGCCCGAAGCC
Molecule: ribosomal RNA, 153 nt
Filed under: Pittosporum tobira (tobira)
Lineage: Eukaryota; Viridiplantae; Streptophyta; Magnoliopsida; Apiales; Pittosporaceae
Description: 5.8S ribosomal RNA
Rfam family: 5.8S ribosomal RNA (bases 30-153)
About the family: 5.8S ribosomal RNA (5.8S rRNA) is a component of the large subunit of the eukaryotic ribosome.
Source: RNAcentral